AAUGAGCCUGAGGCAUUCUUUUAUCUUUUAAUCCUAGAGAUUGUUAAGCUUCCUGUACUGUAGGAACUACCCACCUAAGCUGGCAUCAUACAGAAUAUAAUUUUGCAACAUAUAGUUAAGAUUCUGACAAUGUAGUUUUUCUCUUUAGGUUAACUGGAAUGCCUUUUACCGGAGGUCCAGAGAAAAACUCUACUGAGAAUAAAAGCCCUAAACAGACUGUGAGCUCUCAUUCAAGUUUCUUAACAAUAUUGAUUUAUCUCAAGAGUCUGCACCGUGACAAUUUCUUUAUCCUCUCCAAACUCAAAACUCUCACCAAUUAUUACUAUUUUAGGGCCAAAGUUAAGGCAAAGAACCCAAGAAAGAUAAUUACAGGGAAACAAAAACAAUGGCAAGUUAAAAUGAUUUACAAAUAUUUAAAACUUCUUUAAAAACCACCUAAACUUUCAUAAGCAAAGAGGAAAAAAAAAGGGAUCUUUAUCUUUUUACGGUUAACUCUGAAAUAUUAUUAUAGUAUAAUUAUUCAAAGUAUCCAAUUAUUUCUAAGUAUCUCCAAUAUAACAAUUUAUAUUAUCAACUCAGCAGUACUUUUUUGUUUUUUCUUUAUUUUUAAGAUUAUCUUCUAAAGAUCUAAGCUGAGCAGUACUCUUAAAAUGAAAUACACAUGAAAAUGUUAGAAUGAAAUAUAAUACUCAUCUUUAAAUGAAGCUAUGUCUACCUCUCUUUUAAUUAAAACGUAGUCACUGUAUAAGGUUUAAGAUUUGUUCCAAAAAAUCUAAGUGACUCUGUAUAACCACAUUAGCAUAAUCUGAAGUAAACUUCUCUAGGAACAAGGUAAUCGAGAUGAAAUACACUAAUAAUUCAACAAUUAAAAACUAUAAACUAGGUUGUCCUACUUUUGGUAUGAUCUAGCUGAUCAUAUUACUGUCAAAUUUUUUAGAGUUGUGUUUGCAAUUAUGAAUGUCUUAAUUUACUCAAGAAAGUUCCGAAGCAAGCGCCAAGACACUUCAAGAAGCAGCUCUCCAGGGACAAACUCAUAAAGCAUAGUUUAAGAAAAAGAUCCUUUCUCUAGUCACAAAGGUUAUGAGACCAGCUCCCACCAUGCCCACUGGGCUCAGAAGAGUUUUGCCAGUAGGAAGGACAUGACUGUCAACUCUUGACACUUAGGUUCCACUUCCAAUCUUGACUCCAGCUCCCGGCACAGAGGAAUACAGACAAGCCUAUACUUCUUCCCCACCCUAAGCAACUGAUACACCACAAGUGGUAUCAUAACUCAGACUGCAGCUGCUUCUCCAGAAACCAGGUGAUAAAGACAAAACAUGAGAAACCCUACAGAGAGGACAUGGUGAAUGUUAUCUCAUCCUGAAUCUGGCCACAGACUGACUGGAACCAUUAAGACCCAUCAGGAAGAAAGAUCCAUCAGGAAGACAUAGUCUGGCAAUGAUCUUUUCCCAGCCAUUGGUUUUAGGGUAUUCAAGUAAUCAACAAAGAUAACAAAAGUUGAAAUACAUAUUUAACCACACUAUAUGCUUACAGAUUCUAAGCUAAUCUACAUAGCCAAUAACAAAGGGAAAUGUGCCUUCCAAUCCAAAGUUCAGACAGGAUAUUUAAGGACCACAGUUUUAAUUUUUUUUUUUUUAAAGAUAAGGCUGCAAAGUCCACAAAUGCUUAUAAACCAGUGCCUCAACCAAUACUUUUAUCUUAAAGAAAAAAAAUCAAUUAGGAGGUCAUUUGAGAAACUAGCUGUUUGCACCUAAUUUUAAAUGUAAACAAUAAAUAGUAUAAGAAUGCCAAACAUUUUGUCAACUGACUAUCCUAUUGAAAAAAACAAACUUGGGAGAAAUGAAACCUUAGAAAAAAUGAUAUCCAAUGAAAUGGUUUCUGAAAGAAAUCAAGCAUAGGCUUACUUAGAUAAAAACUAUUAGCAACAAUGGUAAUCAUCAUCCAGGGUAAAAAAAAAAAAAAAAAAAAAACUAAUAAAAAUUUGCAACUUUAUAUGCAUAUUUAGAAUUGCUUGUAGAAACGUUUAAAAAUAAGUUUAAACCUGAACCAGAAAAGAAAAUUUUAUCAGAUGAGUCCCUUAUAUUCUAAGAAUUCAGCACAGGCCAAUAAUAAUCUACCACCAUAUUGAAAUAAGACUUUCCAAAGUCUUAUUUAAAUGUGCUUUAAGAUAUUAUCUUUAUUUCUGUUUUCAACAAAGGUAUUAUAUUGCCCUUAAGAGAUAAUGCCACUAAUGAAGUGAAGAAAAAUGAAGCAUGACUUUUCAUCACUUCUAAUGUUGAGUUCAGUGGGUACUUUCUGAGAAUUAUAGAAUGUUCUACACAAGGCCAUCUAGACCUCCCUAAUUUUGCCUUAUUCAAAGAGAUUAGUAUUUUUGCAUUCUUACCUUUUCACUGAAACACUCAAGCAAGUCUUGGACAUACCCUCGCAUUUCUUGCAAAAAUUUAUACCGUUCACCAAUACCCCCAGAAGACCCUUCUAAUCUUUCAAUAGCCCUGGUAGAGUCCACUCGGCUUUGCAGAUGUUUCUCAUGCUGCUGUCGAUUUGUUUUGUGCAAUUCUUUCAUGGAGUCCAACCUUAGGAACACAAAAGGAUAAAUAUAACACAUUUACAUCCAAAGGUCUAUGGUGUCAGGACUCUUGCAAUAUUAAAAUAUGCAUUUAGCUCCACUAUUAGAACAUAAAAAUAUUUGGAAUGGCAUCUUUUCCUCUGUACUGCUUUUUUUCUCAAAAAACAAAAAAUGGCAGUUUACAGAUUUCACAGUUUUGUGGGCUAACCAAAAUCUCACUGUUUUGCUUUUC
Molecule: long non-coding RNA, 2798 nt
Filed under: Homo sapiens (human)
Lineage: Eukaryota; Metazoa; Chordata; Mammalia; Primates; Hominidae
Description: HSALNT0272792
Source: RNAcentral